GACGGGAGAUGCAAGCGUUAUCCGGAAUCACUGGGCGUAAAGCGUCUGUAGGUGGUGAUGCAAGUCACUGGUGCAAAACUCUGGCUCAACCGGAGGAAAGCCAGUGAAACUGCAUGACUAGAGUGUGGGAGAGGUAGAAGGAAUUCCCUGAGUAGCGGUGAAGUGCGUAGAUACAGGGAAGAACACCGGAGGCGAAAGCGUUCUACUGGAACACAACUGACGCUGAGAGACGAAAGCUAGGGGAGCGAAUGGG
RNAcentral lists this ribosomal RNA (253 nucleotides) under uncultured bacterium. RNAcentral describes it as "partial 16S ribosomal RNA". It matches the Rfam family "Bacterial small subunit ribosomal RNA", at positions 524 to 776 of the family's 1533-position model. The record is from RNAcentral.